GCAAGUCGAACGCUUCUUUCCUCCCGAGUGCUUGCACUCAAUUGGAAAGAGGAGUGGCGGACGGGUGAGUAACACGUGGGUAACCUACCCAUCAGAGGGGGAUAACACUUGGAAACAGGUGCUAAUACCGCAUAACAGUUUAUGCCGCAUGGCAUAAGAGUGAAAGGCGCUUUCGGGUGUCGCUGAUGGAUGGACCCGCGGUGCAUUAGCUAGUUGGUGAGGUAACGGCUCACCAAGGCCACGAUGCAUAGCCGACCUGAGAGGGUGAUCGGCCACACUGGGACUGAGACACGGCCCAGACUCCUACGGGAGGCAGCAGUAGGGAAUCUUCGGCAAUGGACGAAAGUCUGACCGAGCAACGCCGCGUGAGUGAAGAAGGUUUUCGGAUCGUAAAACUCUGUUGUUAGAGAAGAACAAGGACGUUAGUAACUGAACGUCCCCUGACGGUAUCUAACCAGAAAGCCACGGCUAACUACGUGCCAGCAGCCGCGGUAAUACGUAGGUGGCAAGCGUUGUCCGGAUUUAUUGGGCGUAAAGCGAGCGCAGGCGGUUUCUUAAGUCUGAUGUGAAAGCCCCCGGCUCAACCGGGGAGGGUCAUUGGAAACUGGGAGACUUGAGUGCAGAAGAGGAGAGUGGAANNCCAUGUGUAGCGGUGAAAUGCNUAGAUAUAUGGAGGAACACCAGUGGCGAAGGCGGCUCUCUGGUCUGUAACUGACGCUGANGCUCGAAAGCGUGGGGGAGCAAACAGGAUUUUAUACCC
RNAcentral lists this ribosomal RNA (760 nucleotides) under Enterococcus faecalis. RNAcentral describes it as "bacterial SSU rRNA". It matches the Rfam family "Bacterial small subunit ribosomal RNA", at positions 57 to 787 of the family's 1533-position model. The record is from RNAcentral. Lineage: Bacteria; Bacillati; Bacillota; Bacilli; Lactobacillales; Enterococcaceae.